CCCUUAGAUGUCCUGGGCUGCACGCGCGCUACACUGAUGUGUCCAGUAAGCACCUAACCUCUUCCGAAAGGAACGGGUAACCUUUGCAAAGCACAUCGUGAUGGGGAUAGAUUAUUGCAAUUAUUAGUCUUGAACGAGGAAUUCCUAGUAAGCACAAGUCAUCAGCUUGUGUUGAUUACGUCCCUGCCCUUUGUACACACCGCCCGUCGCUCCUACCGAUUGAAUGUUCCGGUGAGCUCUUCGGACUGCGCGGUCUGCAGUUUCUGCGUUCCGUGCGGAAAGUUGCGCAAACCUUAACAUUUAGAGGAAGGAGAAGUCGUACA
Molecule: ribosomal RNA, 323 nt
Filed under: uncultured eukaryote
Lineage: Eukaryota
Description: partial 18S ribosomal RNA
Rfam family: Eukaryotic small subunit ribosomal RNA
Source: RNAcentral